ACCUAACAUUUCAACUCUCUGAUACCAGAUUGACCAGCUGAGCAGCUUGGGGCCAGAAUUCAAAAAGGAUGGCUUGUGCUGUGGGAGCUAAGAGCAGGGGAAGGGAAUUUUUGUACUCAGUGUUUACAUUCAACAGGAGCAGCACUGAUUCCAAUCUGCUGAUUAGAUGAGAUGCAGUUUGCUUGGCAUUGCAUUUUUAGUUUGUUGUGCUGCAAUAAAACAAGCAGGGCAGUUGCCUAGUAUGCUGCUUAGGUAAUUGGCUUGUUUGGCUGUCUACCAAGCUAGUUAAUGUCAGCUGAUACAAUUACAUAUUGUGGGUGCAUCUUUUACAUACCUUGACAGAAAGUUCUAGUUCUCAUUGAAUUGGGUUUGACUUCAGAUAGCAUUUUAGCAGUAUUUAGAUUUGGCCUUUAUGACUGGAGCCAUGUGCUGGCUUUAAGAGAAGGAUUAGGAGUUAUGAAUGUAGUUAUGGAUGUAACUGUGUUUAUUUCAUUUGCAUAUAGCAAGUAUUUUGCCCUCAAAAAACUUGUGAAUCCUACAAUGUCUUUAUCUUUAAUUAUUUGCUUUAUUAUAAUGUAGAAACCGAGGAUGUUGGGAUCCAUUAUGUGUGUAUAGAUGAAAUAUUCCCAACUUACCUCUAAAUAGGAGAAAACUGCCAGAUGUAUGCUGAAUACUCUGGUUUGUGUUAUAACUUUUAGUUCUUUCUAGGCAUAGAGAUCUUACUACAAUCAUUUUAAAUUUGUUCAUAAUAGGUAGCUCCCAUAUAUUAUUCCUGCAGUGCCCACAUAAAUUUGAGAAAAUAUUAUUUCCUGUUUAUACGUACACAAAUUAGAUAAAAUAAUUUGCCCAGGUUCAUAGGGAGCUGGUGUCUGAGCCAGGAAUUUCUCAUCAUCUGAGGCUAAAUCUGAUACCAGCCAUAAAUAAUCCCUAACAGAUCAUAGUUUCUAGAUCUCUAAUUUUUUUUCAUUCUAGAGGUGUUGCUGUGCUUGGAAUAGUGUCUUCAGAGAACUACAUGGACUUCUUUGAGGAAGAAACUUCAUGUAAAGGUUGCCCAAGACUACUUGGGGUCUUUGGGGAUAGGAAGGUCAAAUUUUAAGCUGUUGGCUGUAAAUGGAAAGCUCUAUGCCAUUGGUGGUCAAUCCCUUUCCAAUGUGGAGUGCUAUAACCCAGAAAAUGACUGGUGGAGUUUUGUAGCAUCCAUGCCAAAUCCUCUUGCAGAAUUCUCAGCUUGUGAGUGCAAGGGCAAGAUUUACGUUAUUGGAGGAUACACCACACGAGACAGGAAUAUGAACAUCUUGCAAUACUGUCCUACUUCUGAUUCUUGGACCAACUUCGAACUCUGUGAUGUCCACGUUCGAAAACAACAGAUGGUCUCUGUUGAAGAAACAAUCUAUCUAGUAGGAGGUUGUAUUCAUGAACUUGGACCAAACCAAAAAUCCAGCCAAAAUGAAGAUGUGCUAACUGUGCAGUCUUAUAACACUGCUACCAAAGAAUGGCUCUACCUCAAAGAGAACACAUCAAAGUCGGGUCUUAACUUGACUUGCACUCUACACAACGAUGGAGUUUAUAUAUUGAGUAGGGAUAUUACUUUAUCUACGAGCUUGGAGCACCGUGUUUUUCUGAAGUACAAUAUAUUUACAGACAGUUGGGAGUCACUAAGACGCUUUCCAGCCUUUGGACAGAACAUGCUGAUCUGUUCUAUGUACUUGCCUGAUUUGUGAGAUGUGUAAUGGGAUCAGGUUUUUCUUUGCAGCUCAUUAAUCAUUCUCAGAAGAAAUAUUACUCCCUCUAAGUAAUUCCAGUUUCAGAAUGUAACGUGGUUGCAUAACAUAGGCAUAAAAUACUGAUUCUUUUAAUUAAAAAAAAAAAGUUUCAAAAUCAUUAUUAAGAGCAAUGGUUCUAGAAACAGUUCUAAGGUUUGUUUAAUUUUCUUUUAUUUUGUAUUUAAAUUUUACCAAAUAUUGUUUACAACUUUAAACGUAAAUUUUUAUGUUGGUAACUACUGAAGGAUAUUUCAGUAGGAUAUAUCCAAAGGCAAAACUGAUUAUUUUCAUUUUAUUCUCCAUCAUUAUAGACAACUCAGAAGAGAGAGUAUACACAGUGAUAGUGAAUAUAAUUCAAUAAAAUAAAUACUAUGUAAAAUACUAUGAAAAAAUCAAAAAAGGAAUUAUUUUUUUUAAAUACAAUUUUUACACAAACUGUGUUCUAUUGAAUGCAUAAUGUUUAAAAUUGCUUACCUUCUCAUGUUAUUCUCUCUUCUACAGUCACAAAUGAGAGUUUUAAGGGUUCCAACAAGUAGCUAUCACCAAGAAACAUGCCCUGAAUUUUUUGUCAUAAAGUGCUUCAUGAGAGACUGGGAAGAAUUACCUGGAGACUGAAGUUUCUGUCUGGAUUUUAGACAUGGCUUUAAUGGCAGUUAGCAAAAUUUAUGGUUGCCAUUAUGACAGAGGUAAAAAGUCUUCAAAUUCAAAUGAAGGAGUUCGCUCAUCUUCCAGAAGAUUUUCAGUUUUAGUUAUCGUGUUUGCUGCAGUGCUGAAUAUUAAAAAUCAAAUUAUAGAAACAAAGAAACAGAUGUUAGCAGCAAGCUGCAUUGUAGGAAGAUAUACAUGAGUACACACUGCAGUGAAUCUGCACCAGGCACUUACUGCUUGAUAACAGUCACCUAGGGCAAAAGAGGAGACUGAAUCACUUGAUGUGGCAGGGUUUAUUUUUGUAAACAACUUCCUUAUGAUACCAGCUCUAACAGGUGUAUGUGGAUGUUAACUUUCUUGUUUUACCAGUAGCCUGGUAGAUAUAACCAGUUUGCUUCCUAAAGUUGUUAGUUUUUCCAAAGAACUCAAGGGGAUAGUCACCAUGGAUUCUCUGUGUGUUUCCUAGUUUCUGCAUAUUGCUUGAGACACUUUCCUUUUUGGAGCUGACAGGUUCCUUUCUCCUGAAGGGCUUGUUUAUUAUCAUGGGAAGGUUUCACAACUGCAGCCUUUGGGAAAGAGAGAGCCAGAUUAGGUGUAUAUUGAAUAGAUUGCACUUAUGUUGAUUUUGUGCCAGUUCUUUCUUGAAAUGAUGAGAUUUUAUUCACUUGAAUGUGUUCCUAUCAAGGGGAGAUAUUUUUUUCCCCUUUUGAAAUUCAGGAAUCUGAAUUGACUUUUGAAAAUGGAUGCCUGUUGUGCAGAGAAGGAAUAGACUGCAAUGGUUCCCUCGAGGCUCUUUUAACUCCCAUCUUUUCCAUGAUCUUGAAUUAAAUUGAUGCUAGGAGAACUAUCGGACAAUUCUCUCUCGCACAUUCUGUGCUUAGGUGCAUAAUUGAUACUUCUGAUCAUGUAUAGCAACCCAAAUAGAAAAUUCCAGAAAACUGUUUAUCUAGUGUGGACACUAAGCAAGGUACUUUGAAUAUCCAGGGUUAACCUUCUGGGUGGAAUUUUUGCAGUCUGGCAGAGCAUGUUAUGCUUAAGCCCCAGAUAGUGUCUGCCAUUUAUCUGUAUGCAUGAAUUUCACAAGUUUUAGCUUUUGUCUAUUUGUUAGUUUUCAUUCCUUUGAAAACCUCAUGCACUGAGCGGCUGCUGUGUUAUGGAAAUUGCAUCAGACCAAACAAUGGCUUUUCUACAAUGAAGAAAUGGGAUGACUUUCCUGAAACUCUUAAGUGAUUUGUUGUUAACUUUUAUAAGUAUUUUAGAAUAAAUAUAAGCACUGUUCUAUUGUCUGGUUAUAAAUUAUUUCAUCCACAUUAUUUUACUUCCUCCCUUUUCAUUUCCGUGUACGCUACCCUACUAUAAUCCAUUAGUAAAUUCAGAUUAAUAAUGGUGGAGGAAAUCAUAUUUGAGUUGUGGCAUUCUCUCACCUGGCAAAUUAUCUGUGAAGAACUCACAUUUCCAGAUUUUCAGUUUAGUAUGUCUAAUCCUUUCAAACUCAUCCAUUCUGUAGAGCAGGCAUUACUAUAAAAGCUGUGAUAUGGUGCUUUUAAUGUGGUCUUUUUCAUGAGAGGCCUUCUGAAACUGGAAUUAUAUAUGUGUUGGUUUCAGCUUCUGAUAAUUAGGUGACCAUGAAGAAAUGUGGAGAACCUGCUCAAAUAUAGAAAACAGCUCAGACUGUAAAUGCAAUCAGACAGUGCAAUCAAUCUGUGGAGAAAAUUUAUCAAUAAUGACAAUUAACUGUGCUACAGUAGCAAAUCAAAGCUGGUGUUGAAUUGAGUAGUAUGAAACUAAUUAAGCUAAGUGGACUGUAUAACUACAGGCUGAAAUAUAGUUUUUAAACAAAAUUAAUUACACAAAAAUAUGCAAUGGAUAUUCCUCGUAAAUCAGGAAAAAAAUCCUACCUGUAAUGGCUGUCCUUUGCCCUUAUUUUCUUUCUUUCUAACAUUUAAUAUUCCACAUAAGACACUACUGAACAGUUUCUGCCCUUCUGGGCAAGGAAAAAUGGUUUAGAGUUACUAGCAGCGAGUAGUUUAAAAGCUGCUUUUUAGCCAGUGGAAAUGUUCAGUGAUUCUGUGUGCUGUGUUUGCUUUCUUGGUGGGGAAAAAGUCCUAUCUUACAGACAGAAAAGCUUCUUCUGAAAAACAACAGUUGAAGUGUAGAGCAAUGGUCUUGAUGAUCUCACCAGCUACAAAAUUCUUCAGUGUUAUCCUGAUAUCCACAUUCUAACUUACCAUGUGGCCUUGGAGAGAUUGUUCUACCUGCUUGUGUCUUCACUCCCUAAGACAACACAUGAGUAAGAAUGCUGAUCAUGCAGGGACACAUGGUUUUUGUGGUGUGGCAGUGUUUGUGAGAUCUCUUGAAGGUGUGAAGAAGAACAAAUAUCCUGCUUGCAGUAAUUAUUUACUUAGUUGUUAAAAUUGUUUGAUAGAAAGUGGCAAGAUAGAAGACAGCUAGUAACCUCCUUUUGGUCUCUGCUAAUUAUCUUCAUUUUGAACUGAUGGCUAUUUCCUAUCUGUUUCUUUUGUUUCUGUCGCUUACUAGCCUGCAGUUUGCCUCAAGUAUCCAAAUUUAGAACUGCUACUUUCCUGCCGUGGCUUGGUUAUCCAGUGCUUGCAUAUCCACUUUUCAUCUUCAUGGACUGAGUCUGCUUGAUACUAGCCAGUAAAAGCUGACUAUAGUAAAGGAUGAUCCCAAGUUGAAAGAAAGAAUAACAGGAAGAACAACAGCCUCUAAGUCCUGAGGGAAAGUCAUCAUUUUAGUGAGAAAUGCUAGAGAGAUUCAGAAUAUGUGGAAAUUGACCCAUAUCAAUAAUGUGAGAGUGAAAGUCACGGACUGCAGUGAUGACAGCGUACAACGUGCUCGAAGACCUACAAGAGCAGAGAUUUAUCAUCACAAUCACCCCUAUAAGAUAAGGUCAUCAAGAUAGACUCCCAUUCAUUACUUUGCAAACAGCAUGGAUAUAGUGGUAAUCUGCCUUUGGAGGAACAAGAAAGAAAAUCUCUUUCACAUAAAAUUUCCUUGAAUUUGGAGUUUGUGAUCUGAUUUGUAGAACAAAAAUAAGAUAACUGCCUUGAUACUCUUAACAGAUAUCAGGAUUGUUAUGCAUUAGUAUGCUGAAAUGAAAUGCUCGCAUUAAAAAGGUACAACACAAAGGAAGUGAACUCUUCCUGACUGCACAAAGUUCAAGACCACACUGAGCUGUAUGCACAUUAACUUUGCUUACAAUUUGUCACCAAAGGAGAAAUUAUUGACAUAUGGGAAGACUUGCUGCUUCUGAACGCUUUGAAUGAAUAAGUGCCUAUGGGAGGUAAUGCUCUGCAGUGAAAGGAUUUAUAUCUUCAGGUAUAUUCUAUGUUUAGGUUAUUAAAAUCAUCCAGGAGGUUAAGGAGGCAACAGUGUGUUUUUAUUUGAUUUCUUGAUAAUUUUCUCAGCCUAAGCAGAACCAAAGUUGUCUAACUCCAGAAGAACCUAAAGGAGAAAGGUAUGCUUUGAAGAACCAAGGUUCCUUUUGAGUUCAGUCUUACUGAUUCUGAUGAAGAAAGUGUUACUUUUGUACUAGCCCAUAUUACAAGAUUACUCUGCAAUCUUCUAUGCAGUCAGUGCAGAAAGAUGAUUAUAUGUGGACUGAAUUUUUGAUUCAUCAUCAGUCAGUUAAGCUUUGUUACAUUUCAAGCCUAUGGAUUUAAUCAAAUGAGACUUCAAGACUGGAGGUCAUUCUGGAGAUCUCAGCUUAUGCUUCUAAAGUGUUAUUUUCUUUUUCUUUUCAUAUAAGAGCUUCUUUUCAUACACUAUUUUGUUCAAGGAUUGGGAUUUGGUGCUCUGUCUUCAAGCAAGGGUAAGUCAUGUGGAAGAACUAGAAAAGGACAAAACAAUUUAAAAAAAUUCAUAACCAUGAAUAUAUUGGUUGGAAUUAUGUUCCUUCAGGUUCUCUUUUGACAUUUGGACUUUUGGUCUUUUCUAUUCAAAAACUUAACUUAACAGGUAGACGUCGUUGGUGGUGCAGAGUCUGGCUGGAGACCUGUA
Molecule: non-coding RNA, 6431 nt
Organism: Meleagris gallopavo (turkey)
Lineage: Eukaryota; Metazoa; Chordata; Aves; Galliformes; Phasianidae
Source: RefSeq, a predicted model, not a curated record